UUUAUUUGGUUAGCAAGUGAAAAAUAGAUGGACCAAACUGAAAAUAAGGGAGCGACUAAAAAGAAACCUAAAAUCUGAUCUACCCUCUUUUUGUCACCUAUAAAAGGGCAUGGAGUGCCUUGAGGAAAGGUCUUCAACAUUCAGCCCAAAAAAUCUCCACCAAAAUUUCUCCUCCUUUCCUUCAAUCUCAGUUAUCAUCUCAAUUCCAAUACUCAAAAAUACAAAGCAUCAGGAUAUUAGAAAACCAAAACAAAAAAGAAUAAGAAGAAAAACUAAAAAAAAAAAAUUACUGUUUCAUUGAGUGAUUUUAGCUGUGAUUCUGAUUUCCAUCUGGUAUGUGCUCAAUUUAUAUUUGUAGUUGAGGGUGGGAUUCAUUGAAGUAAUUUGGUAUUUUUCCAAGUUGUUUCACAUCUGUUGGAUUACCUGUGCAUUUCUGAGUUCGUUCCUAGUUUUUAAGAAGCUGAUUAGGUCAAAAUUCUCUCUAUUGUUGCUGGCUGUGGUUGAUGUGUGAAAUUGCUUGCUGACUUUUCUUUUUUCAUUUGGUACAAUUCCAGGUAUGUUCUCAGAUUCAAGGUGUUGGAACUGAAUUGAUAUGUAUGAAAUCACUUGAAGUCCAUUAAUGAAGAAAUGAAGAUGUUAGCCAUUUUGGCAUUUCCUGUGUGAAAAGCUGUUUUGAGUGACCUUUGAAUGUAUUAAUUGAAGUGGCAUAGACUGUUUGGACUAUUUGAUUUGCUGGGAUUGCAUUUCUCCAGAUAUACCUUCUAGUAUACUAUUAAUUUAUGUAAUAAGCUUGGACUGGACCGUUAAAUAGUGUUUCGUGCUAUGUUAAUAGGUAAUUCAAGUUGGUUGUAGUUAAAUUUCCUUUUAGCUGCCUUUGUGAAUUUGUUCAAAAUGAUGUAGGGAUGAAGACGAAACAUAAGCAUUAGGAUGUCUGGGUGUUUUCAAAUAAAUUGCAUGGUGUGUAAUUAGUUAGCUGUUGACGACUUCAAUAAGUCCUUUUGUUAGGUGUGUCAAAUUCCAGUUGUUUUAAAAUUAAUUACAAAUGUUAAUCUUGGCAUG
RNAcentral lists this long non-coding RNA (1059 nucleotides) under Nicotiana benthamiana. Its description in RNAcentral is "long non-coding RNA (NBEN_LNC012085)". The record is from RNAcentral. Lineage: Eukaryota; Viridiplantae; Streptophyta; Magnoliopsida; Solanales; Solanaceae.